AACGAACGCUGGCGGCAUGCCUAACACAUGCCGGUCGAACGAGACCUUCGGGUCUAGUGGCGCACGGGUGCGUAACGCGUGGGAACCUGCCCUUAGGUUCGGAAUAACUCCCCGAAAGGGGUGCUAAUACCGGAUAAUGUCUUCGGACCAAAGAUUUAUCGCCUUUGGAUGGGCCCGCGUUGGAUUAGCUAGUUGGUAGGGUAAAAGCCUGCCAAGGCGACGAUCCAUAGCUGGUCUGAGAGGAUGAUCAGCCACACUGGGACUGAGACACGGCCCAGACUCCUACGGGAGGCAGCAGUGGGGAAUAUUGGACAAUGGGCGAAAGCCUGAUCCAGCAAUGCCGCGUGAGUGAUGAAGGCCUUAGGGUUGUAAAGCUCUUUUACCCGGGAUGAUAAUGACAGUACCGGGAGAAUAAGCUCCGGCUAACUCCGUG
Molecule: ribosomal RNA, 433 nt
Filed under: uncultured bacterium
Lineage: Bacteria
Description: partial 16S ribosomal RNA
Rfam family: Bacterial small subunit ribosomal RNA
Source: RNAcentral